Molecule: long non-coding RNA, 640 nt
Filed under: Danio rerio (zebrafish)
Lineage: Eukaryota; Metazoa; Chordata; Actinopteri; Cypriniformes; Danionidae
Description: lncRNA (ENSDARG00000117417.1)
Source: RNAcentral
GGUUAAAUUUUGUUAAUGAUUUUUAUUUAUUAUGUUUAUCAUUUUUGUUUUGGCAUCAUUUUUUUAAGCUGAAGUUUGGGUCAGUUUAAUGCUAAAUGAUCUUUUAUUUAAUGUCCCCUUUAAAAAGUUGCAAUUUGCAUUUGACAGACUGUGGUCAUGCAGAAAAAAAAGGGAGCUUGUGUUACAAGAUUUGAAUACAUGGUGAUGUGGUUUUUUGGAAGCCAAUUGGACAAGUUUCCCUUAGGGCAAGAAACAUUACCCUGGCCAGACUGAUAUUUUGGACAGCCAUGAUUUUCACAAAGUUUUAAUGGCUGGGUCCUCUGAGAACAGACCAAAGCAUAUUGCGUGAGGCCAAGAGGAGAGUCCAGGCUACAAGUUAUUUCCAUUUUCAAGUAUGCAGACUAUUACUGUUCUGAUACAGCAAAUAAAUGAUUUAAUAUUGGAUAUUUCUUUGGAAAAUAGAUGCAACAAUGCUUAAAAAUUCCAUGUGCCUCUUUUUUUUGUCACUGUGCAGUGUACAGCUAUACUGUAAAAAGAUUGCUAAAAUAUAUAUUUUAGUAGCAGUGUGCACUAUUGGCUUAAAAUAAAGUGGAAAAUCUCAAAUGCAUGAAGAAAAAUUCAAAUAAAUGAAAUCUUUGAA